GUAGAUAUGACUGUGUGAACUUUCAAUUUGAGAGAUGUGUGUAUUGUAGAAGGAGAAUAAUAAUCAAAGUUCAUGUUUCGUGUAGCUUUCUGAGGCGUGCAAAUGGAGUGAUCGAUUGAUAUCGCAACACAUAGAGUGUAACAUUUAACCUGGAAGUGGAAUGUGCACGUUUGAAUACAAGUUAUACCAUCAGGAACUUUAGCUUCUUUGGAUUGAGCUAGAUAGAAGACAUGAAUAUGUAUGAUGACAACAUAAAAUGGUAAUAAUUGUUUGCUAUGUAGAGGGGUAGCAAUUCUAUGUAUGAGGUGGAUAGUGUCAACUUUUAUGAUGUAGUAACUCUCUUGAUUUGUAGAAAAAAUCUUCUCAAUCUCUCUUAUAUAGUCUGGUAAUUGUUUACUAUAUGUAGAG
This is a long non-coding RNA of Trifolium pratense (red clover), 408 nucleotides long. RefSeq lists it as uncharacterized. The record is from RefSeq and is a predicted model, not a curated record. The transcript has 3 exons. Lineage: Eukaryota; Viridiplantae; Streptophyta; Magnoliopsida; Fabales; Fabaceae.